This is a long non-coding RNA of Pongo pygmaeus (Bornean orangutan), 2615 nucleotides long. RefSeq lists it as uncharacterized. NCBI's taxonomy places the organism in Eukaryota, Metazoa, Chordata, Mammalia, Primates, Hominidae. The transcript is spliced from 3 exons. The record is from RefSeq and is a predicted model, not a curated record.
UCGUGUCAGGUUUUUCAGUGGUGGCGCUCGGUACCUGGGUUAGAGAACUAGGGCAAGGGGCUGCUAGCGGAUUCCUCCCGGGGCACUGGGCUGCGGUUGGUGGAGGGGGUGGAGCUGUAGGAGGGCAGCCGGCCGCGGGAGCAUCUCCUGCGGGACAGGAGGACAAGUGGAAGGGAGAGGCACUGCCACAUGCUGGAGGCUGGAGCUUGCGCCACUGCGGCUCGCCUCACUGCAGUUGGAGGUGACGUCGGACACUGUAGCUCGGCCAGAGUGCUGUGUUGGGAGUGGAAGAGGAGGAAGCCCCCGACAUCAGCAUAUACCACUGCCCAAACUAUGAGAAAACCCAUGUGAAGUCCACCUUGCUAAAGACAUAGUGACCCGUGUGCCAGACAGUCAGCUCACGCUGGGCCACAUGGAGGAUUACAGCUUCACCAAGCCCAUCUUCAUCCCUAAGAAAGACGGGCUGGGCCUGGCUGUCUCGGCCCCCAUGUUCUAUGUAAGCAAUGUCGAGAAAUAUGUGUGUAAGCGCCAUCCCCUUCAGAGGGCUCUGGGGCUUGAAUUGGGAGUGCUGGGGCACCCCCCACUGUGCGUGCUGUUUCCCCGGCCCGACUGUGUCCCAUGUGUGCCAUAAGCAGGGAAGGCUCAAGGCUCACUGUACUCUGUUCCCAGUGCUUUUAGAUCAUACUUGUGUCCCACUGAGAUGACAUGUGACCUGGCAGGUCCCUUGCCCUCCCAGAUACUCUGGCUGCAAAGUGGGGGCUGGUCUGGGAGACCCUUUGAUUCUGGCAGCUAUGAAUUGCAUUCCUGUGGGUGCUACAUGACACCGCCACGCCCGGGAGUCCCUGGUGUUGGCGGGCGCAUGUCCCCAUCCUGGCUGCCUGGCCGGGCACUUGGCCGGAUGCCUGGCCUUCCUCAUCUGUACUGUGACCUGCCCCCACGGCACCAGAGUCUCCUCGUCUGGAUUCCAUCUGGGUUCUAGCCAGUGCCAUCGCCAUCAGUAGUGCCCAUUUUAUGUCCUCUUGCAGCUCCAGAUCUACUGGGCUCAGGUAGGCACUUGUGGGUGCAGGAAGCACCAGUGGGGAUGCCAUUUGAGAGCCAGUGGCAGGGAGAGACCAGCACAUCUAGCAGUGACCAUGAUAGGCCAGUGGCCACACGGCCAAGCGUGGAGGCCAUGCAUGGUUGCAGGGCUUCAAGGUGCUCAUGGGGGAUGCAUGGAUGGCUGGCAUGGGGAGGGAAAACACUGAACAGGGAAAUGCCCAGGACAGGAGCUGGGCGGGCAGGCACACUGUCUUCUUGGUGCUGGGGCUCCGAGAGGACUACCCCCACCACUCUGAGCCUCACUCCCUUCCUCUGGCGCCGCUCGUGAGGUGUGUGCUGGAGAUGAAAUGAGGUCACCUGUACAAGCCUCUGGGCACAUACGGGCACCCAUCAGGAGGCUCACAAGUUCAAUUUCAGCAGGGGCCUGGGACCACGUCACUUCUCUCGAGCCACAUAGCCAUCCUGGGGCCACUGAGACUGGGCUCCCAGACUUGUGAGGAGGAAGAGUGAGCACCGUGGGAGCUGUCAGGCAUCUCAGGAAGAGGGGCUAGAAAGGUCUCAUCCCGGGACCUGGGGUGGAGGUCUUGGGGGUCCAUGCAAAGGGGCUGAUUCUGUGGGAUUCUUACUGAGGAGGAGGGCAGGCUGGGCAUGGUUUGAGCUGUGGCAAUAGCGCUGUGGCUGACCCUGCCCUGAGCCAGGAUCCAACCCCUGGUCUUGCCUGUGCUCGGCUUUGCCGCAGGUUUGCCUGAGUAGAGAGAGGGCCAUGGCCAUCUGGUGGGCUUGCUGCACGAUGCUGGUCUGGCAGCCUUAUGUACCACAGCCUUAAUGUUCACACUCGCUGGGCCAGUGCUCUUUGUCACCUUCCCAGCCCCAGGCAUGGUGCACGCAGUGCACCAUACAGGUGAGGGCCUGCCCAGUGUCAGGCAUUUUUCUAAGCUCUUCUGAUGUGGAAGCUAAUUUCCUCCCUCCCACAUCUCUGAGAGGUGGGGCCAGCUCUGCCACCAAGGCCCUGGGGUCAUCUAAUUAUGCGGACAGGGGCUGGUUUGUCCCCUGGCCCUGUUCCUUCCACAGCUGUUCCUGAAGAAGCAGGGAAAUGGUUCAUAGUUUGUAUUGCUUCUAUGUUUUUCUUUCCUCUUAAUUUUUUUUUUUAUGGUGAAACUUUUUAAACACACACAAAAUUUAACAGUCAGCCGUCAUACACCCAGCACUGGAAAUAAAAACCCCCAGCUUUCAGCUGAUUUUCUGCCUCCCUAUGUUUGUUCUCUUGUUGUAUUUUAAAAGAAAUUCUGGCGCAGGCAUGGUACCUCACGCCUUUAAUUCCAGCACUUUAGAAGGCUGAGGUGGGUGUUCAUCUUGAGGCCAGGAGUUCGAAACCAGCCUGGCCAACGUGGUAAAACACUGUCUCUUCUCAAAAUACAGAAAUUAGCCAAGUGUAGUGGUGGCACCUGUAGUCCCAACUCCUCGGGAGGUUGAGGCAGGAGAAUCGCUUGAACUCGGGAGGUGGAGGUUGCAGUGAGCCAAGAUCCAAGAUCACACCACUGCACUCCAGCCUGGGUGACAGAACAAGAGUCCAUCUC